GAUGAACGCUGGCGGCGUGCCUAAUACAUGCAAGUCGAGCGAACAGACGAGGAGCUUGCUCCUCUGACGUUAGCGGCGGACGGGUGAGUAACACGUGGAUAACCUACCUAUAAGACUGGGAUAACUUCGGGAAACCGGAGCUAAUACCGGAUAAUAUAUUGAACCGCAUGGUUCAAUGGUGAAGGACGGUUUUGCUGUCACUUAUAGAUGGAUCCGCGCCGCAUUAGCUAGUUGGUAAGGUAACGGCUUACCAAGGCAACGAUGCGUAGCCGACCUGAGAGGGUGAUCGGCCACACUGGAACUGAGACACGGUCCAGACUCCUACGGGAGGCAGCAGUAGGGAAUCUUCCGCAAUGGGCGAAAGCCUGACGGAGCAACGCCGCGUGAGUGAUGAAGGUCUUCGGAUCGUAAAACUCUGUUAUUAGGGAAGAACAAAUGUGUAAGUAACUAUGCACGUCUUGACGGUACCUAAUCAGAAAGCCACGGCUAACUACGUG
Molecule: ribosomal RNA, 497 nt
Filed under: uncultured bacterium
Lineage: Bacteria
Description: partial 16S ribosomal RNA
Rfam family: Bacterial small subunit ribosomal RNA
Source: RNAcentral